This 117-nucleotide small RNA is filed under the name Macaca fascicularis (crab-eating macaque). RNAcentral describes it as "Metazoan signal recognition particle RNA (ENSMFAG00000054836.1)". Lineage: Eukaryota; Metazoa; Chordata; Mammalia; Primates; Cercopithecidae. The record is from Rfam by way of RNAcentral.
GCCGGGCGCGGUGGCUCACGCCUGUAAUCCCAGCACUUUGGGAGGCCGAGACGGGCGGAUCACCUGAGGUCAGGAGUUCCAGACCAGCCUGACCAACAUGGUGAAACCCCAUCUCUA